GAAGACGGCCAUAGUAAGCCUGAAACACCUGUACCCAUACCGAACACAGAAGUUAAGCGGUUUACGUCCGUAGUUGUAGUCUCCGUCAAGAGGCGAAGCCAGGAUGCUGUCUUCA
This 115-nucleotide ribosomal RNA is filed under the name Candidatus Pacearchaeota archaeon CG10_big_fil_rev_8_21_14_0_10_35_13. Lineage: Archaea; Nanobdellati. The record is from RNAcentral.